Erinaceus europaeus (western European hedgehog) is the source of this 843-nucleotide long non-coding RNA. RefSeq lists it as uncharacterized. The record is from RefSeq and is a predicted model, not a curated record. NCBI's taxonomy places the organism in Eukaryota, Metazoa, Chordata, Mammalia, Eulipotyphla, Erinaceidae. The transcript is spliced from 3 exons.
GAUGUUUUUAGCUCAUCACACUGCAAAGAGAUGGAGGUACCUCUGAGAUUACAGGUCCUCAGAAAGACAGGAGAGAAAGCAAAAGGGAACUUUAGCAGAGCUGGAAAACUGAAGACACAGAGUGAGUCCUGUAAGACUCAGCCUCUGCAGCCUUGGGUGACAUUCUCCUAGACCCCCCGCAUCUGGUGCAUAACAGGGUGGGCAUGCCAGGAGUCUGCGCUCAAGAAGAGGCCUCCCCACAAGAAGAACGGCAACUUACAUCACACCUACCUCAGGGAUGGUGGCAGCUAGCAGGCUGUAAUCAUCUUACAAGACCAAUAGAAGCUGGAGGAGGAAAUUAGCCUUUUUUUAUGUAUGGGUGGAUGCUUCAGAGGCCUCUAUGGAUACCAUUCAGGUAUAGACCAUUUCGAACCUGUGAGUAGGCAGAUAGUAAUGACUGUUUCCAAGUUAUACCAGUUUGAAGGGACAAAAUGUUAAAUUGAAUGCCCAGAUUUUACUGUUUUAUUUUCAUAUAUAUUUAUUUAUUUUCCAUUUUGUUGACCUUGUUGUUUUUUUAUUGUUGUUGUAGUUAUUGUUGUUGUUAUUGAUGUCAUCAUUGUUGGAUAGGACAAAGAGAAAUAGAGAAAGGAGGGGAAGAAGGAGAGGGGGAGAGAAAGAUAGAGGUGAGUCUCAUGCGAAGUUGAGCAUGGAUGGCUGACCCCCCCGGAAGUCUGUCUGUCAGUCUCCCACUGGCAUGUCAGCUGUUGUGGUUGAGCGAGACAGGCCAGAGUACUCCUUGCCUUUCCCUGCACAGCUACCCCUUUAUAAACUUGUAACUGAAACAAUAAAGUGUUCUGUCCUCUG